AUUGAACGCUGGCGGCAGGCCUAACACAUGCAAGUCGAACGGUAACAGGAAGCAGCUUGCUGCUUCGCUGACGAGUGGCGGACGGGUGAGUAAUGUCUGGGAAACUGUCUGAUGGAGGGGGAUAACUACUGGAAACGGUAGCUAAUACCGCAUAACGUCGCAAGACCAAAGAGGGGGACCUUAGGGCCUCUUGCCAUCUGAUGUGCCCAGAUGGGAUUAGCUAGUAGGUGGGGUAACGGCUCACCUAGGCGACGAUCCCUAGCUGGUCUGAGAGGAUGACCAGCCACACUGGAACUGAGACACGGUCCAGACUCCUACGGGAGGCAGCAGUGGGGAAUAUUGGACAAUGGGCGCAAGCCUGAUGCAGCCAUGCCGCGUGUAUGAAGAAGGCCUUCGGGUUGUAAAGUACUUUCGGCGGGGAGGAAGGGAGUAAAGUUAAUACCUUUGCUCAUUGACGUUACCCGCAGAAGAAGCACCGGCUAACUCCGUG
RNAcentral lists this ribosomal RNA (490 nucleotides) under uncultured bacterium. Its description in RNAcentral is "partial 16S ribosomal RNA". It matches the Rfam family "Bacterial small subunit ribosomal RNA", at positions 30 to 507 of the family's 1533-position model. The record is from RNAcentral.